This 254-nucleotide ribosomal RNA is filed under the name uncultured bacterium. Its description in RNAcentral is "partial 16S ribosomal RNA". It matches the Rfam family "Bacterial small subunit ribosomal RNA", at positions 524 to 776 of the family's 1533-position model. The record is from RNAcentral.
UACGUAGGGUGCAAGCGUUGUCCGGAAUUAUUGGGCGUAAAGAGCGUGUAGGCGGCCCGAUUAGUCCGCUGUGAAAGUCCAGGGCUCAACCCUGGAAUGCCGGUGGAUACUGUCGGGCUAGAGUCCGGAAGGGGCGAGUGGAAUUCCUGGUGUAGCGGUGAAAUGCGCAGAUAUCAGGAGGAACACCAAUGGCGAAGGCAGCUCGCUGGGGACGUGACUGACGCUGAGACGCGAAAGCGUGGGGAGCAAACAGG